Molecule: ribosomal RNA, 253 nt
Filed under: uncultured bacterium
Lineage: Bacteria
Description: partial 16S ribosomal RNA
Rfam family: Bacterial small subunit ribosomal RNA
Source: RNAcentral
UACGUAGGCAGCAAGCGUUGUUCGGAAUUACUGGGCGUAAAGAGUGUGUAGGCGGUGUUCUAAGUCUGUUGUGAAAUCUCCCGGCUUAACUGGGAGGGUGCGGCGGAAACUGGAAUGCUAGAGGAUGGGAGAGGUAAGCGGAAUUCCUGGUGUAGCGGUGAAAUGCGUAGAUAUCGGGAGGAACACCUGUGGCGAAAGCGGCUCACUGGACCACAACUGACGCUGAGGCGCGAAAGCUAGGGGAGCAAACAGG